GAUGAACGCUGGCGGCGUGCCUAAUACAUGCAAGUCGAGCGAACAGACGAGGAGCUUGCUCCUCUGACGUUAGCGGCGGACGGGUGAGUAACACGUGGAUAACCUACCUAUAAGACUGGGAUAACUUCGGGAAACCGGAGCUAAUACCGGAUAAUAUAUUGAACCGCAUGGUUCAAUAGUGAAAGACGGUUUUGCUGUCACUUAUAGAUGGAUCCGCGCCGCAUUAGCUAGUUGGUAAGGUAACGGCUUACCAAGGCAACGAUGCGUAGCCGACCUGAGAGGGUGAUCGGCCACACUGGAACUGAGACACGGUCCAGACUCCUACGGGAGGCAGCAGUAGGGAAUCUUCCGCAAUGGGCGAAAGCCUGACGGAGUAACGCCGCGUGAGUGAUGAAGGUCUUCGGAUCGUAAAACUCUGUUAUUAGGGAGGAACAAAUGUGUAAGUAACUAUGCACGUCUUGACGGUACCUAAUCAGAAAGCCACGGCUAACUACGUG
RNAcentral lists this ribosomal RNA (497 nucleotides) under uncultured bacterium. RNAcentral describes it as "partial 16S ribosomal RNA". It matches the Rfam family "Bacterial small subunit ribosomal RNA", at positions 28 to 507 of the family's 1533-position model. The record is from RNAcentral.